This 181-nucleotide non-coding RNA is filed under the name Tepidicaulis marinus. The record is from RNAcentral. Lineage: Bacteria; Pseudomonadati; Pseudomonadota; Alphaproteobacteria; Hyphomicrobiales; Parvibaculaceae.
ACUAGACUGCGCCGCGACGGUGCCCCGCAAGGGGGUAAAAGGGAAUCCGGGAAUGCCGGAGCUGUCCCCGCAACUGUGAACGGCGAGCCCGCGCCGCAUUGCCACUGGCCAAAGGCCGGGAAGGCAGGCGCAAGGGUGCAGACCCGUAAGCCAGGAAACCUGCCGUCAUGUCGUCCGCUCC